AUUGAACGCUGGCGGCAUGCUUUACACAUGCAAGUCGAACGGCAGCGCGGGCUUCGGCCUGGCGGCGAGUGGCGAACGGGUGAGUAAUGCAUCGGAACGUGCCCAGUAGUGGGGGAUAGCCCGGCGAAAGCCGGAUUAAUACCGCAUACGACCUGAGGGUGAAAGCGGGGGACCGAGAGGCCUCGCGCUAUUGGAGCGGCCGAUGUCGGAUUAGCUAGUUGGUGGGGUAAAGGCUUACCAAGGCGACGAUCCGUAGCUGGUCUGAGAGGACGACCAGCCACACUGGGACUGAACCACGGCCCAGACUCCUACGGGCGGCCGCAGUGGGGAAUUUUGGACAAUGGGGGCAACCCUGAUCCAGCCAUGCCGCGUGCGGGAAGAAGGCCUUCGGGUUGUAAACCGCUUUUGUUCGGGAAGAAAUCCUCUGGGCUAAUACCCCGGGGGGAUGACGGUACCGGAAGAAUAAGCACCGGCUAACUACGUG
RNAcentral lists this ribosomal RNA (484 nucleotides) under uncultured bacterium. RNAcentral's name for it is "partial 16S ribosomal RNA". It matches the Rfam family "Bacterial small subunit ribosomal RNA", at positions 28 to 507 of the family's 1533-position model. The record is from RNAcentral.